Long non-coding RNA from Anguilla anguilla (European eel), 1983 nucleotides. RefSeq lists it as uncharacterized. The transcript has 2 exons. Lineage: Eukaryota; Metazoa; Chordata; Actinopteri; Anguilliformes; Anguillidae. The record is from RefSeq and is a predicted model, not a curated record.
ACCAACACUUCCUUUCAUAGGCACCAAAUCGAAUGUGCAGUCCAGGUUAACAAUAAUAACUCAGUAUAGAUAUGCAUUUCUAUGAGUGGAAAGUGAUUUUUGCCUGGAAGUGAGUGUGUAAAGAAACCACAAACUCUUUAACAACUACUGUUGUACAAAGCACAAGGGAGAGACAGAAAGAGAAGGCUCACCUGCAUGUCUCUCGAUUAGUUCUUUGAGAGGAAUGGACAUCUCCUCCUCCACGGUGCAAGGGGUGUUGACGUGACCCGAGAUGUUGAAGAGCUUUGUCCCAGAAUUCCUCUCUCUCCCAAAGCUGGCAAACCACGAGCCACCACGACGACAAAUGGUGCCAGGCUCCCCCUCGUCAGCGUUCACCACCAGAUACUUUGGCCUGGACAGAUUGACAGUGGGAGAAGGAACUGAAAAAUACAUACACUGACAUGAUAGCAGCAGUGUGAAACUUGGGCCCAGCUGUACUGCAAUUCAUAUCCUUUCUUUCACGCUCUGUCAACUGGAGAUAAGGACAACAUGCAGAGAUUAGGACAACAGUGGGGGCUAAAUAUUUGCCCCCUGUUUAGCUGACCUGCCAUCGCUGGGCUUGUUCAUGAACCCCCACUUCAUGCCUGUGGGGAACCCAGCUCCUCCUCUCCCACGCAGUCCCGAAACCUUCACCUCAUUGAGGAUCCAGUCUACCCCUUUCAGCAGAAUCUCCUUGGUCUUGUACCAGUCGCCACGACUCAAGGCCCCCUUAAGCCUGCAGAGGGAUAAAGCAGCACGUGAAAUGCAGAACUACAGAGUUAUAGCACUGAGGUUGUAGCUUUGAUUCCCACAUGAAUAAGGUCUGUAAGUAAAGUAAGGUAAGGUAAGUCUUGAGAAAAUAUCUACCUAUAUAUAUAUAUAUAUAUUCUGUGUAAUGGGACAUUAUCUAGUGCAAUGGCUGGAGUACUGGACUGUGGACCUGAAGACUGUGCUCAAAUCUCAGGAGUGUCACUGUUGAGUAUGUGUCUUCACCUGUGAGUAUGUGAGUGAGGUACUAAACUAAUACCUAAAUGUAUGGGUUACAUACUGCAAUUGGCAAAGGCUGAGCCUCUGUAAUGGUGUCUGGAAAGUAGUCUAUUGUAGGCCAAUGCAUGAAUAUCGGGGAUGCUGGUUUCAUCUGACUAGUGCUUGUGUGUUUUUGGUACAGUAGAUACCUCCAGUCGUAACGGCCAUACAGGUUGGUGAAAAUCCUGUUCUGAUCACUUAAGGGACCAAAUGUCGUCUUUUUAGGCUUUUCCUAGAAAAUGCAAAGGCAAUGUGCAUGACAUGCAGUCUGCAGUUAUGGAUGCAAAGCAUAGAGAUCUACAGUCUAUUCUCCUUUAAUACUGCAGGAAAAUACACUGCGGGACCACUGCUCCAACAGCACGCACAUACCAACUACACUGAGAAAGACUGCCAGUUGAAAGUUUAGAUAUGCAUUUGGUUAUGGUAAUAAAACACGGCAGGUUAAAUGCUGAAUUGUUACGACGUAGAAAAGCUUUGCGGUGAAAGAUGUUCGUGUGAACUUUUCCCCACAGUCUGCCAGAGCGGGAAGAGUACCUGCUAAGUAGAGGUGCAGUUGAACCUGAGCAGAGCAUUCGUACCGCACUGACCGGCCACGACCUGUGAGCGCGCCAGUGCAGCCACCAAAGAACGAGACAGGGAAAGCAUACUGCAGAGAAGAAACCCGUUCAUUUAGUGUAUAUUUUCAGUGUCAUGUAGACAGAAAGGGGACUGGAGACUUGCAAACAAUAAUAUUUGAAUGAAAAAAAUACAUGUUAAAUUACAGAAGUUAUGGCAAUUAAAAAGUAGAAUGACAAAGUAUUUAUUUAUAAAACAAUGUACGGAACAUGGUAAUACAAAUAACUAAAAAGUAUUUUUUGGUAGAAGAGUUUACACCAGUGUUGUGGCCAUUACUGAUGUUUCGUUUAAUUUUAACUGUCACUAACGUAUUUGGAAAGCAAC